Molecule: small RNA, 331 nt
Filed under: uncultured bacterium
Lineage: Bacteria
Description: bacterial SSU rRNA
Rfam family: Bacterial small subunit ribosomal RNA
Source: RNAcentral
UAACACAAGAAAAUAGAGCGCGAAAGGGAGAGCCAACUCUCCCGAGUAGAGUUUCCCCCGGGUGAGUAACGCGUGGGUAACCUGCCCCCGGGCGGGGGAUAACUAAUCGAAAGGAUGGCUACCACCGCAUGAGACCACAGGGUCUUCGGAUCCUGAGGCCAAAGGCGGCGCCGGCUUGCCGGCGCUGUGACCUGGGGAUGGGCCCGACUACGAUUAGCUAGUUGGUAGGGUACCCGCCUACCAAGGCUCCGAUCGUUAGCUCGUCUGAGAGGAUGGCCAGCCACACUGGAACUGAAACACGGUCCAGACUCCUACGGGAGGCAGCAGUGGG